Humulus lupulus (European hop) is the source of this 3791-nucleotide long non-coding RNA. RefSeq lists it as uncharacterized. The transcript is spliced from 2 exons. NCBI's taxonomy places the organism in Eukaryota, Viridiplantae, Streptophyta, Magnoliopsida, Rosales, Cannabaceae. The record is from RefSeq and is a predicted model, not a curated record.
UUAAUUAUUAAUAAUCUUAUAUAUUUAUAUUAAUAUUGAUAUGGACGUGUUAUAUGAAAUGUCACACUAGAGACCAAAAUAAAUAUUCUAAUCCAAAUAUUAAUGUGAUGAAAAUGAGUCAUAUUUAAACAAGAAAGAAACAAGUUUCACUUUCUAACUUUAUUUUGACAAUUGUAUACACAUCUUAGAGCUCUUUUUCAUAUUAAAAUAAUACAACUCCAAUAAAAUAGUACACACCUCACUUCUUAGUGAGUUAUAUAUAUGAGUUACAUGCAUUCAUGUAACGAAAAAACAAAAUAGCUUUUCUUUGUUUCACUUUGAAUAAUGUCAAUGUUGAUAUUUUUUGAUUGGUCAGAAAAAUUUGAUCUUGGUCCCGUUUGGAACCAAAGAGGUGAUCAAUCAACAUGUUGGGCGGUUUCUGUAGCGGCAAUGACAUAUAUCUUUGAUAGAAUAAGUGGUAGGCACAAUGGACGACACUUUAAAUAUUCCCCCCACCUAGCUAUAGAUCAUUUUGUUAGACUUAAGCGCAUUAAUCCUCGUACUGAUAACUACUUUGUAAUAGAAUUUGCAAAGUUCUUUGCUGAACAUGAGUUUAUUAGUGUUCAAAAUUAUCCUUAUAUUGACUUUCCGACUCUUAAAUACUUGAAGGAUAUAGAGGAAAUAAACUAUGUAAGUUUUACGUUUUAUUUUAUUUAUGUAUGUUUUUAUAGAUUUGAUUAAGUAUUUUGAUUUUUUUUUAAAUUGUAAGAGCUGCUACCGACUCUUUUUGUUAAUCCGUCGUAUUAUGAAAUUGCUACGUUCGUUUCAUACAUAUUGUGAUGGGAUAUUAAAUCUGAUUCAGAAUCGGCCCGUUAUCAUUAAUUACAAUAGCAGGAUGCUUAAAAUAUAUGAUGGAAGUGGAAUGUAUAAGACAUUGGCUAGGUCCAAGGCUCAUACUUGUCGAUACUCUGCGAUAGCGUAUGGAUUUAGAUGGGUUGGGGAAGAAAAUCAUUAUGUUUUGAAAGUUAGAAAUUCUUAUAACUUGUAAGCUCAUGAUGAGAGGCAUUUUGUUUAAUACUACUUUUGCUCGGGUUGCACUUCUUGAUGUAGUUCACUUCCAACCAAGAGUUAUGCAAGGUCUCACUUCAAUUGUUAGUCAGCUUGAGGUGGCAUAGCUCUUUACCUCUUUCUGCUAUCAUUGUCUUGUUGUUUUGGAUUGUUAUUUCUGGUUUUUGUUUGUAUUUUUUCAAGUGUUGGUUUUCUUUGUUUGUUGUAGUUUCUGGUUCCUGCUGCUUGUUUAUCCAGGUUCGGUCGAUGGGUCUGUCUGCGUUAACAGCCCAUUCUUGGUUCUGGUCGUUUGUUAGUUUAUCUUGUAAGGUUGUUGCCGUCUAUUAUUUUAUUAUGGUGUGGUAGCCCCUGUUUUGGAAGCUCCUAUUAUAUUGUUUUUGUUUUUUCGUUAAUCAAUAAAAUCUUGUGUCACUUUGCUUUAAGCAGGCUUGUUGUCAUUUUGGUAAUGUUUUUGAUAUGAUACUAUAUUAUGCUUUUGAAUCUAUAAAAAACAAAAGUAUAAUAUAGUAUCAUAUAAAAAACAACAUCACCAAAAUGACAACAACCCUGCUUAAAGCAAAGCGAUACAAAGUUUCAUUGAUUAACGAAAAAACAAAAACAAUAUAAUAGGUUUUCCCAAAACAGGGGCUACCACACCACAACAAAGAUACAUAACAAAACAAUAGACGGCAACAACCAUACAAGAUAAACUAACAAACAGCCAGGACCAAGAAUGGGCUGCUAACGCAGAGAGACCCAUCGACCGAACCUGGAUAAACAAGCAGCAAGAACCGGGGAACACAACAAAGGAAACCAGCACUUGAAAAAAUACAAACAAAGAACAGAAAUAACAAUCCAAAAUGACAGGACAAUGAUAGCAGAAAGAGGUAAAGAGCUAUGCCACCUUAGGCUGACUAACACCUGAAGCGAGACCUUGCAUAACUCUUGCUGGAAGUGAACUACAUCAAGAAGUGCAAAACCGAGCAAAAGUAGUAUUAAACAAAACUUCAAAAUGUCCCCCAUCAUGAGCUUGCAAGUUGUAAGAAUUUCUAACCUUCAAAACAUAAUGGUUUUCUUCCUCAACCCAUCUAAAUCCAUACGCUAUCGCAGAGUGUCAACAAGUACGACCCUUGGACCUCACCAAUGUCCUAUAUAUUCCACUUCCAUCAUAUAUUUUAAGCAUCCAGCUAUUGUAAUUAAUGAUAACAGGCCGAUUCUGAAUCAGAUUUAAUAUUCCAUUACGAUAUGUAUGAAACGAACGUGGCGAUUUCUCAUAAUACGACGGAUUGACAAAAUGAGUCGGUAGCACCUCAUACAAUUUAAAAAAAAUCAAAAUACUUAAUCAAAUCUAUAAAAACAUAUACAAAUAAAAUGUAAAACUUACAUAGCUUAUUUCCUCUAUAUCCUUCAAGUGUUUAGGAGUGGGAAAGCCAAUAUAAGAAUAAUUUUGAAUACUAAUAAACCCAUGUUCAACAAAGAACUUUGCAGCUUCUAUUACAAAGUAGUUAUCAUUACGAGGAUUAAUGCGCUUAAGUCUAACAAAAUGAUCUAUAGCAGACUGAGUGGAAUAUUUAAAGUGUGGUCCAUUAAGCCCACCACUUAUUCCAUCAAAGAUAUAUGCCAUUGCCGUUAUAGAAACCGCCCAGCAUGUUGAUUGAUCACCUCUUUGGUUCCAAAUUGGACCAAGAUCAAAUGUUUCUGACUAAUCAAAAGAUGUUAGCCUUGACAUUAUUCACUGCGAAACAAAGAAAAGCUAUUUUGUUUUUUUCGUUACAUGAAUGCAUGUGACCCAUAUAUAUAACUCACUAAGAAGUGAUGUGUGUACUAUUUUAUUGGAGUUGUACUAUUUUAAUAUGAAAAAGAGCUCUAAAAUGUGUGUACAAUUGUCAAAAUAAAGUUAGAAAGUGAAACUUGUUCUUUCUUGUUUAAAUAUGACUCAUUUUCAUCGCAUUAAUAUUUGGAUCAUGAUAUUUAUUUUGGUAUCUAGUGUGACAUUUUAUAUAGCACGUCCAUGUCAAUAUUAAUAUAUAUAUGAUUAUUAAUAAUCCAUAAACACAAAUAUAUAAAAUAUUAUUUUGGAUAUUCAAAUGAAUUGAACUGAUCAUAACCUGUCUUUAACAUCUUGCAAAAGAAAAUUUAUUGGGAACUAAACUCAUUCAUAGCAUGCCCAUCUAACAAUAUCACCCACCCAAUAAAUAUAUAUUUAUAUUAUAUAUAGAUCCAUAAAUUUGCUAAUUUAGGGUUUUAUAGUUGGUUAUGUUUUACUUAGACUUUUUUGUUUAUUUUUAAAUAACUAGGAAAUUAAAUACCGUUUCAAAAUUUGAACUAAACCAAACAAUUUAUUAAACAUUAAAAAAAAUAUUAUUUAAAAAUUAAAUAAAUCAAAAUGUUAAUAAAUAACAAAUAAAACAGAAGAAAAGAAUGACAACAAGAAGGUUUCAGCCAGAGUCUUUGCCUUGACCUAAGGAGAAGCCGAAGCUAGUAACAAGGUGGUCACAAAUGGUGCAGAAAAAUGAGCAUGGAAGGCGGGACAGAUUCAUGGCAGUUUUGGCAUGUGUAUUGGGCGAAAACUGAAUGAAUGGACUGAUGGGAAAGAGCGAGGAUGACGUUUUGUUUCAAGUCUUUUCAAUUAUGUAUUUAUGUUUUUCCGCAUUUAGUAUUUGAACAAUUAAUUAAAGGUUUUUUUUGUUUACUUUAUGAUUUUAUGUAAUAACAAUGAGAUCCUGUAUUUUGGAUUUUCUAAUAAAGUUCUAUUAUUUUAUGUA